RNAcentral lists this ribosomal RNA (497 nucleotides) under uncultured bacterium. Its description in RNAcentral is "partial 16S ribosomal RNA". It matches the Rfam family "Bacterial small subunit ribosomal RNA", at positions 28 to 507 of the family's 1533-position model. The record is from RNAcentral.
GAUGAACGCUGGCGGCGUGCCUAAUACAUGCAAGUCGAGCGAACGGACGAGAAGCUUGCUUCUCUGAUGUUAGCGGCGGACGGGUGAGUAACACGUGGAUAACCUACCUAUAAGACUGGGAUAACUUCGGGAAACCGGAGCUAAUACCGGAUAAUAUUUUGAACCGCAUGGUUCAAAAGUGAAAGACGGUCUUGCUGUCACUUAUAGAUGGAUCCGCGCUGCAUUAGCUAGUUGGUAAGGUAACGGCUUACCAAGGCAACGAUGCAUAGCCGACCUGAGAGGGUGAUCGGCCACACUGGAACUGAGACACGGUCCAGACUCCUACGGGAGGCAGCAGUAGGGAAUCUUCCGCAAUGGGCGAAAGCCUGACGGAGCAACGCCGCGUGAGUGAUGAAGGUCUUCGGAUCGUAAAACUCUGUUAUUAGGGAAGAUCAUAUGUGUAAGUAACUGUGCACAUCUUGACGGUACCUAAUCAGAAAGCCACGGCUAACUACGUG